RNAcentral lists this ribosomal RNA (253 nucleotides) under uncultured bacterium. RNAcentral describes it as "partial 16S ribosomal RNA". It matches the Rfam family "Bacterial small subunit ribosomal RNA", at positions 524 to 776 of the family's 1533-position model. The record is from RNAcentral.
GACAGAGGGUGCAAACGUUGUUCGGAAUUACUGGGCGUAAAGCGUGUGUAGGCGGUCCGCUAAGUCGGGUGUGAAACCCCUGGGCUCAACCCAGGAAGUGCACUCGAAACUGGCGGGCUAGAGUAUCGGAGAGGUUGGUGGAAUUCUCGGCGUAGAGGUGAAAUUCGUAGAUAUCGAGAGGAACACCGGUGGCGAAGGCGGCCAACUGGACGAAUACUGACGCUGAGACACGAAAGCGUGGGGAGCAAACAGG